GUUUACACACAUACACUCCCCAUACGCGCGACGCGGGGGUUGCAGCGACCCAGCGUAUGCAAAGUCCGGAAGUAGCGGCUGCACCAGCGCUAUUUACACACCGAAAACCACGGAUACGCACCGCAACGGCACAAAAAUGUAAGGCGAUAAAGAUGAGACGCGUGUUCCGACGGGUGCGUCCGUGUAGAGCAACAUAAGAGCAAGUGGAUGCUGAACGUGCAUGGAUGCUGUAACCAUAGGCAUCGCGUGUGCAUAGCAUGCUGCAAUCUGUAAAGUGCAAAACGAAAAAUCGUGUCAUCUCCAUCAGAAUAACCAAAGUGUUGUGUAUUAGAUAAUCUAACGCGGUCAGCGUCAGUGUGUUGUGAAUAGUGUAUUUGGGCCCUCCUUCUCCUCUUCCUCCCCUUCCACUGUUUUUGAGGGACGAGGGCGGACGAGCAAACCCCCCUCCCGUGGCCGAUACCAAAGGUUCGUGUGUACAUUCCGCACCAGCGUGCGUGUAAGUGCUGUUGAAAGUAGAGUGUAUUUAGUGCUGAGUACGUGCGUGCGUGCGUGCGUGCAUCCGUUUGUGUUAGUGAGUGUACGUUGUGCGUAAGGUGUACAAAAGGACGGUUGUGUACGUGACGGUGUUUGCAUCACGCAUCGCUUAAUCUCGACCGGUUGUGACACUAGCCCCAGAAACUAACUACCACCCUCUCUUUAGUGGCGUCAAGAAGCGAAGGUAGAGAAUUUGUAAAAACAAAAAGCAGAAGAAGAAGAAAACCAUACACCGGAAACAGCUCGGUUCGAUUUCCCGGUGGUCACCAGAAAUGAACUUGCGAGACGAAUGUGAACUCGCUGCGAUCGAUUUGUGGUUAGUUUCUAGAUAAUGAAAACGCAACCCAAACCGGGCAUGUGGUAGCGGAAAGCGGAAAACUACAAAUUAACUAGAUAACUCAUUACCGUCCUCUUUAGCGUGUAAGGUGAAUUCGAACCUCGAAUUCGAAUUCGAACAUUCAACGUAAACCUGUAACUCGUACAUACUCGAAGGACGCACAUCGAAGUAGCCGCCAAUUGGUGAAAGGGCUCCCUUCGCUCCUCCUUCUCGUGUCCUCUCAACUUGCAACGUGUGUGCCAAAGCCGACGAAUGCUGUCGGUGCAAAUCCACCGAUUUACAGACCCCGAUGAGCGGAAAGGGUCAAUAUGAAUUACUCGUGAACCAGAGGGAACCAGAGAGUGAGAAUGCUACUCAGCCAAUAAAAUGCUCCAUCGUCUCCAUCUCCUGUAGCGAAUGUACAUAGAGACAAGCAGAGCGCAGAGUGUCGGGAGAAAUCAAAGUAAACGAUGAAGUGAAUCUCUGGUCUGGUGACUGGUAUGCAAAUCCGCCACCGGACGCCACACACUUUCUGCGCGAAAGUAUUGAAAACCAACUCAUCGUCAUCGUUUUGGUAUCGAACGGAGGCUUCCAAGGCAUAUGUGUGUGUGUGGCAGCAACAGUGCGACCGGAAGUAAGAGUCAAGCACCCGCACGUGACCUGUUUCCGGGCAUCGAAGUGGUUCGCGGUGCCACGCGUUGUCACUCAUAACGAUGUGGUGGCAAAGCCUGCCAUGGUCUGGUACUGCAGCAGAAGCACAAGGAGAAGCAGUAGCAGUAGCAGCAGCUGUUGCACGCUGUCCAACACAGCAACCGCACCGAAGCAAGAUGAUGGUGGCUCCUUUGGAACGGCGUUCCGUCGGUUAGCUCGAGAAGUGCCCGGCAUCCGGCCCACGAUUACCACGCGCAACUCCAACCGAUAGAGACUGUGAAGCCAACCAACGAAUUGUGUGUGAUUCGGUGUAUGUGUGUGUGCGUGUGUGUGUGUGUGCUUGGUGGUACAGGGUGGUAGCGGAGGGCGGUAGUGAGCUGGCCCCACGCCAUUACGCCAUAUAGCGGGCCUCAUGCUGGGUGGCUUGGGCUACGAUUACAACAAAUAAAUGAGUUUGGGGAACGAUUGUGACUGCUGUGUGCGUAGUGUGCACGUGUGCGCGCGGUCUGUUGCGAUUGCCUGUGAUUACCGACCGUAAGACCAUCUACUUCGACAAACGGCAGCACCAGCAGUAGCAGCAUCAAGUGUCCGUGCGUAGGUGCGUGCUGCCCGGCCCACGGUAGUGUGGUGCCGAUGCCUAGCCAAAAGGUCCCUGGAAAGCCGCGAGAAAGUUAUUUCACGCGUAAUUGGUAACGGGGGCCUGGGCUUUGGUUUUUGGUUUGGUGGCGAAGCAAAGAGGUUCCAUUACGCU
This is a long non-coding RNA of Anopheles darlingi, 2252 nucleotides long. RefSeq lists it as uncharacterized. Lineage: Eukaryota; Metazoa; Arthropoda; Insecta; Diptera; Culicidae. The transcript has 3 exons. The record is from RefSeq and is a predicted model, not a curated record.